ACUUUCUAUACUUUCUAUUUUAAGGAUUAUAAAAUAGUAAAUAUGGCAGGAGCAAAAAAGUUAGGGCAUUGUAGUUGUUCAAGUGUAACAAGCUAAUGAUAGAGCCUCUGAAAAGGGCAGCACGUGAGGGAAAACUCUAGCACUCUCAGGGCAGUGUAAAUUCAGGUUAGUAAAACAGCUAAAUAAUGUCAUUAAUUUCAUCACUACAAGUGUUCUAAACACUGGGCAGAUGGCUGCUAUGUCUUUAAACUACUUUUUCUCUGUAAGUCUUCUGCUUUGAAAUAGCAGCAUCUUUCGUUAGUGGCAGUGUUUGUUUGGGUCAGUUCUUUCAGUUUUUACCAAAGCAAAACUCCCACUGAAAAUCUUUACACCAGCCUUUUACAGUUUUGAAUGACAUAUAUGGAAACAGGUCUGGUUUUCAUAAUGUUACAUUUAAGCUCUUUGAAGAUAGGUGUAAGUACAUUUAGGAAAAUCUAUGAUUUUUAAGGGUUCCUGUUUUUAAACAAGUCCCAUAAAUAAAAGCUAGUUAAUGCAUAAGAGAUGAUAUCAAAUGCAAUCUGACUUAAAGUUCUAGAAAUGUUUUCACAUAUUCUCUACAUACAUUGUUUGCAAUAUUAGUGUAAACAACUAAAAAAACUAAUAGUACUUAGAAAAGUGGGGAAGGAUUUUAUUAAUUCAGCAAAAGUGUCCAACCCAGAACAGAAUAAAAUUGCGUGAGAGAAGGAGGAAAUGUCUGUUUUGUGGAUGUUCUCUACUGUUUGAUGUGUGCACUGGAGUACAUGUUUUAUACUGGUCGUGCACUACCUUUGCAGCUGGAGUGGAGUCAGUCUGCGUGUGCUCCAUAGGUCUGGCACUUCCCGGUCCUUGUCAGGCUUAUGUAUAUAUGGUAUCUGACACACUUGCACAGUGCAUCCAUCUCUAGUACUGCAGGAAAAACUACAAGCUUCCUUUCAGCUUAAUACAUUUCUGAAAUUUAGACCUUUCCAUCCUGGUGGAUGUCUCUGCAGCCCUUGUAUUCGUGAUGUCACUUGACUGGUGCAGCGGACACGGACAUGCUUGAGAGAAAAUGAAUGAAAUUGCACAUUACCAUGGUGUUACGGUCUCCUGCUGCUACAUAUAUGCCUGAGU
RNAcentral lists this long non-coding RNA (1128 nucleotides) under Apteryx rowi (Okarito brown kiwi). RNAcentral's name for it is "lncRNA (ENSARWG00000008029.1)". Lineage: Eukaryota; Metazoa; Chordata; Aves; Apterygiformes; Apterygidae. The record is from RNAcentral.